RNAcentral lists this ribosomal RNA (1979 nucleotides) under human metagenome. Its description in RNAcentral is "bacterial LSU rRNA". It matches the Rfam family "Bacterial large subunit ribosomal RNA", at positions 3 to 1976 of the family's 2925-position model. The record is from RNAcentral.
UUAAGCUACUAAGGGCACAUGAAGGAUGCCUUGGCACGAUCAGGCGAUGAAGGACGUGGUAAGCUGCGAAAAGCUUCGGGGAACUGCACACGAGUUUUGAUCCGGAGAUAUCCGAAUGGGGAAACCCAGUGGAAGUAAUGUUCCACUAUCCCGUACUGAAUCCAUAGGUGCGGGAAGCGAGACGCGGGGAAGUGAAACAUCUCAGUACCCGCAGGAGAAGAAAUCAACCGAGAUUCCGCAAGUAGUGGCGAGCGAACGCGGAGAAGGCUAAACCGUCCGGUUUACCGGGCGGGGUUGCGGGACUUCGAUACGGCAAGACCAGUCGAUAGCGGAAGCUGUUGGAAAGCAGCGGCAUAGAAGGUGAUACCCCUGUAUGCGAAAUUGACUGUAAGCCCAGAAGAAUCCCAAGUAGGUCGGAACACGUGAAACUCUGACUGAAUCCGGGGGGCCCACCCUCCAAGCCUGAAUACUCGAUCGUGACCGAUAGCGCAUAGUACCGCGAGGGAAAGGUGAAAAAGUACCCCGGAAGGGGAGUGAAAAGUAUCUGAAAUCAUGUGUCUACAAAGUGUCGGAGCGAAAGCGACGGCAUGCCUUUUGCAUAAUGAGCCUGCGACUUACUCUAACGAGCGAGGUUAAGCCGAGUGCGGAGCCGAAGCGAAAGCGAGUGUGAAUAGCGCGUCUAGUUCGUUGGAGUAGACCCGAAGCUGAGUGAUCUAUCCAUGGCCAGGUUGAACCUGCAGUAACAUGCAGCGGAGGACCGAACCAGUUCAUGUUGAAAAAUGUUUGGAUGAGCUGUGGAUAGGGGUGAAAGGCCAAUCAAACUCAGUGAUAGCUGGUUCUCUUCGAAAUAGCUUUAGGGCUAGCCUUGCGUAAAUAGUUUGUGGGGGUAGAGCUACUGAUUGUUCGCGGGCCCUUACCGGGGUACCAAGAACUAUUAAACUCCGAAUACCAUGAACCGUACCGCAGGAGUCAGACUAUGGGGGAUAAGCUUCAUGGUCGAGAGGGAGACAGCCCAGACCGCCGGCUAAGGUCCCCAAUCCGGACUUAGUGGUUUGAAGGAUGUGAUGUUGCAUAAACAGCCAGGAUGUUGGCUUAGAGGCAGCCAUCAUUUAAAGAGUGCGUAAUAGCUCACUGGUCGAGUGAUAUCGCGCCGAAGAUGAUCGGGACUGAAGUCCAGAACCGAAGCCGCGGAUCGUGAAUUUAUUCACGGUGGUAGAAGAGCGUUGUAUGCGGGUCGAAGCCGAAGAGGGAUCUGAGGUGGACUGCAUACAAGUGACCAUGCAGGCAUGAGUAGCGAAAAACCGGAUGAGAAUUCCGGUCACCGAAAACCUAAGGUUUCCCGGGGAAGGUUCGUCCGCCCGGGGUUAGUCGGAACCUAAGGCGAGGCCGAAAGGCGUAGUCGAUGGAGGACAGGUUAAUAUUCCUGUACCACCUUGUUGGAGUGAUGGAGGGACGCAGUAAGUCAGGUGAGCCAACUGCUGAAUAUGUUGGUCGAAGGCCGUAGGGCGCACGAUAGGCAAAUCCGUCGUGCUUUCAACCCGAGAGUCGUAAGGUAGCCGAACGCAAGUUCGGCGAAUUCACUGUGACGACGCUGACGAGAAAAGCUUCUAAACGUUGAAAACAGGGUGUCCGUACCGAAACCGACACAGGUAGGUGAGGCGAGUAGCCUAAGGUGCGCGAGAGAAACCAACGUUAAGGAACUCGGCAAAUUGACCCCGUAACUUAGGGAUAAGGGGUGCCGCUUCAGGUGAAGGGACUUGCUCCCGGAGCCCGGAGCGGUUGCAACAAAGAGGCUGGUGCGACUGUUUAACAAAAACACAGCUCUAUGCUAACUCGCAAGAGGAUGUAUAUGGAGUGACACGUGACCAAUGCCAAAAGGUCAAUGGGAGAGGUUAGCGCAAGCGAAGCUUCGAUCUGAAGCCCUGGUGAAUGUCGGCCGUAACUAUAACGGUCCUAAGGUAGCGAAAUUCCUUGUCGGG